Molecule: ribosomal RNA, 434 nt
Filed under: uncultured Clostridium sp.
Lineage: Bacteria; Bacillati; Bacillota; Clostridia; Eubacteriales; Clostridiaceae
Also listed under: 1 other name
Description: partial 16S ribosomal RNA
Rfam family: Bacterial small subunit ribosomal RNA
Source: RNAcentral
ACGGGAGGCAGCAGUGGGGGAUAUUGCACAAUGGGGGAAACCCUGAUGCAGCAACGCCGCGUGAGGGAAGAAGGUUUUCGGAUUGUAAACCUCUGUCCUAAGUGAAGAUAGUGACGGUAGCUUAGGAGGAAGCUCCGGCUAACUACGUGCCAGCAGCCGCGGUAAUACGUAGGGAGCGAGCGUUGUCCGGAUUUACUGGGUGUAAAGGGUGCGUAGGCGGCUUGAUAAGUCAGGCGUGAAAUGCAGAGGCUUAACCUCUGAACUGCGCUUGAAACUGUUGAGCUUGAGUGAAGUAGAGGCAAGCGGAAUUCCUGGUGUAGCGGUGAAAUGCGUAGAGAUCAGGAGGAACACCGGUGGCGAAGGCGGCUUGCUGGGCUUUAACUGACGCUGAGGCACGAAAGCAUGGGGAGCAAACAGGAUUAGAUACCCUGGUA